GAUGAACGCUGGCGGCGUGCCUAAUACAUGCAAGUCGAGCGAACGGACGAGAAGCUUGCUUCUCUGAUGUUAGCGGCGGACGGGUGAGUAACACGUGGAUAACCUACCUAUAAGACUGGGAUAACUUCGGGAAACCGGAGCUAAUACCGGAUAAUAUUUUGAACCGCAUGGUUCAAAAGUAAAAGACGGUCUUGCUGUCACUUAUAGAUGGAUCCGCGCUGCAUUAGCUAGUUGGUAAGGUAACGGCUUACCAAGGCAACGAUGCAUAGCCGACCUGAGAGGAUGAUCGGCCACACUGGAACUGAGACACGGUCCAGACUCCUACGGGAGGCAGCAGUAGGGAAUCUUCCGCAAUGGGCGAAAGCCUGACGGAGCAACGCCGCGUGAGUGAUGAAGGUCUUCGGAUCGUAAAACUCUGUUAUUAGGGAAGAACAUAUGUGUAAGUAACUGUGCACAUCUUGACGGUACCUAAUCAGAAAGCCACGGCUAACUACGUG
This 497-nucleotide ribosomal RNA is filed under the name uncultured bacterium. RNAcentral describes it as "partial 16S ribosomal RNA". It matches the Rfam family "Bacterial small subunit ribosomal RNA", at positions 28 to 507 of the family's 1533-position model. The record is from RNAcentral.